UACGAAGGGUGCAAGCGUUAAUCGGAAUUACUGGGCGUAAAGCGCGCGUAGGUGGUUCAGCAAGUUGGAUGUGAAAUCCCCGGGCUCAACCUGGGAACUGCAUCCAAAACUACUGAGCUAGAGUACGGUAGAGGGUGGUGGAAUUUCCUGUGUAGCGGUGAAAUGCGUAGAUAUAGGAAGGAACACCAGUGGCGAAGGCGACCACCUGGACUGAUACUGACACUGAGGUGCGAAAGCGUGGGGAGCAAACAGGAUUAGAUACCCGGGUAGUCC
Molecule: ribosomal RNA, 273 nt
Filed under: uncultured bacterium
Lineage: Bacteria
Description: partial 16S ribosomal RNA
Rfam family: Bacterial small subunit ribosomal RNA
Source: RNAcentral